This 286-nucleotide unclassified non-coding RNA is filed under the name uncultured Vibrisseaceae. Its description in RNAcentral is "sequence contains ITS1". The stretch from base 1 to 105 matches the Rfam family "5.8S ribosomal RNA", at positions 50 to 154 of the family's 154-position model. Lineage: Eukaryota; Fungi; Ascomycota; Leotiomycetes; Helotiales; Vibrisseaceae. The record is from RNAcentral.
GAAAUGCGAUAAGUAAUGUGAAUUGCAGAAUUCAGUGAAUCAUCGAAUCUUUGAACGCAUAUUGCGCCCUGUGGUAUUCCGCAGGGCAUGCCUGUUCGAGCGUCAUUAUAACCAAUCAAGCCUCGCUUGGUGUUGGGGUCCGCACCCGCGGCCCUUAAAGUUAGUGGCGGUCUCCGUAGACUCUAAGCGUAGUAAUAACCCUCGCUACAGAACUCUGCGGUGGCCUGCCAGAACCCCCACUUCUUAGGUUGACCUCGGAUCAGGUAGGGAUACCCGCUGAACUUAA